GGCGGCAGGCCUAACACAUGCAAGUCGAGCGGAAACGAGUUAUCUGAACCUUCGGGGAACGAUAACGGCGUCGAGCGGCGGACGGGUGAGUAAUGCCUAGGAAAUUGCCCUGAUGUGGGGGAUAACCAUUGGAAACGAUGGCUAAUACCGCAUGAUGCCUACGGGCCAAAGAGGGGGACCUUCGGGCCUCUCGCGUCAGGAUAUGCCUAGGUGGGAUUAGCUAGUUGGUGAGGUAAGGGCUCACCAAGGCGACGAUCCCUAGCUGGUCUGAGAGGAUGAUCAGCCACACUGGAACUGAGACACGGUCCAGACUCCUACGGGAGGCAGCAGUGGGGAAUAUUGCACAAUGGGCGCAAGCCUGAUGCAGCCAUGCCGCGUGUGUGAAGAAGGCCUUCGGGUUGUAAAGCACUUUCAGUCGUGAGGAAGG
Molecule: ribosomal RNA, 427 nt
Filed under: bacterium WP2ISO17
Lineage: Bacteria
Description: bacterial SSU rRNA
Rfam family: Bacterial small subunit ribosomal RNA
Source: RNAcentral